This 467-nucleotide ribosomal RNA is filed under the name uncultured bacterium. RNAcentral describes it as "partial 16S ribosomal RNA". It matches the Rfam family "Bacterial small subunit ribosomal RNA", at positions 28 to 507 of the family's 1533-position model. The record is from RNAcentral.
GACGAACGCUGGCGGCGUGCUUAACACAUGCAAGUCGAACGGAAAGGCCCUGCUUUUGUGGGGUGCUCGAGUGGCGAACGGGUGAGUAACACGUGAGUAACCUGCCCUUGACUUUGGGAUAACUUCAGGAAACUGGGGCUAAUACCGGAUAGGAGCUCCUGCUGCAUGGUGGGGGUUGGAAAGUUUCGGCGGUUGGGGAUGGACUCGCGGCUUAUCAGCUUGUUGGUGGGGAGUGGCUUACCAAGGCUUUGACGGGUAGCCGGCCUGAGAGGGUGACCAGCCACAUUGGUACUGAGAUACGGCCCAGACUCCUACGGGAGGCAGCAGUGGGGAAUAUUGCACAAUGGGCGGAAGCCUGAUGCAGCAACGCCGCGUGCGGGAUGACGGCCUUCGGGUUGUAAACCGCUUUCGCCUGUGACGAAGCGUGAGUGACGGUAAUGGGUAAAGAAGCACCGGCUAACUACGUG